AUUUUUUUUUUAUAAGCUUUAUAUUAUUUUGUACACCCUCCUUGUGUUACACAAAAACACAAAUAUACACACACACACACAGAGACACACAAGAGCAAAUUAUUUAUUACAAAGUCAAUAAGUCUAAAUUGCUAUAUUUUCCGCAGUUUUUGUUGUUUAAAUCUAGUUUUUGCUGAAAGCUUAAGUGAACUUAAAAUCUAAAAUUAAUAGGGACUAAUUUUAUCAUCAUAUUCUAGUUUCUUUUGCGCGGUACAGUCAGAAAUCAAUUGUUAACUAAGAUGGCCAUCGGAUGGGUAAAAAGAAAACUUUAGAGUUUAAGUUUUAGAAAUCGGUUUAGGCGCGAUUAGAAUUGUGCCCAAACCGAUUUUCGAAACAAAAUUUCAAAUUAAAAAAAAAAAAAACUGUUAAACGUUAUACGAGUUUUAAACGAUCAAUCAGAAAAAAAUAUUUAUAUUAAAAUCGAUCGUUUGAAAGGCGUAUGUGUUCGACUCGGGUAGCUAGACGUUAUCCGCGCCGUAACACGAAAUAGAGCGGGAUAAAAAAAAAAAAAACAAUUUUAGAUGAACAAAACAAUAAAAAUAUAUAUAUA
Molecule: small RNA, 589 nt
Filed under: Drosophila mojavensis
Lineage: Eukaryota; Metazoa; Arthropoda; Insecta; Diptera; Drosophilidae
Description: GI26096
Source: RNAcentral